RNAcentral lists this transfer RNA (76 nucleotides) under Staphylococcus aureus. RNAcentral's name for it is "tRNA-Thr". It matches the Rfam family "tRNA". Rfam says of the family: Transfer RNA (tRNA) molecules are approximately 80 nucleotides in length. Their secondary structure includes four short double-helical elements and three loops (D, anti-codon, and T loops). The record is from RNAcentral. Lineage: Bacteria; Bacillati; Bacillota; Bacilli; Caryophanales; Staphylococcaceae. RNAcentral also lists the same sequence under 1 other name.
GCCAGCCUAGCUCAAUUGGUAGAGCAACUGACUUGUAAUCAGUAGGUUGGGGGUUCAAGUCCUCUGGCCGGCACCA